RNAcentral lists this ribosomal RNA (414 nucleotides) under uncultured Bacteroidales bacterium. Its description in RNAcentral is "bacterial SSU rRNA". It matches the Rfam family "Bacterial small subunit ribosomal RNA", at positions 44 to 446 of the family's 1533-position model. Lineage: Bacteria; Pseudomonadati; Bacteroidota; Bacteroidia; Bacteroidales. The record is from RNAcentral.
AGGCUUAACACAUGCAAGUCGAGAGGGCAGCAUUUUAGUUUGCUUGCAAACUGAAGAUGGCGACCGGCGCACGGGUGAGUAACACGUAUCCAACCUGCCGAUAACUCCGGGAUAGCCUUUCGAAAGAAAGAUUAAUACCGGAUAGCAUACGAAUAUCGCAUGAUAUUUUUAUUAAAGAAUUUCGGUUAUCGAUGGGGAUGCGUUCCAUUAGUUUGUUGGCGGGGUAACGGCCCACCAAGACAACGAUGGAUAGGGGUUCUGAGAGGAAGGUCCCCCACAUUGGAACUGAGACACGGUCCAAACUCCUACGGGAGGCAGCAGUGAGGAAUAUUGGUCAAUGGGCGAGAGCCUGAACCAGCCAAGUAGCGUGAAGGAUGAAGGCUCUAUGGGUCGUAAACUUCUUUUAUAUGGGAA